GCCCGCCUAGCUCAAUCGGAUAGAGCGUCAGACUCUUAAUAAGUCGUUAGGUGGGAUCUGAAGGCUGCGAGUUCGACCCUCGCGGUGGGCU
Non-coding RNA from Marasmius fiardii PR-910, 91 nucleotides. The record is from the annotation of a GenBank genome assembly. Lineage: Eukaryota; Fungi; Basidiomycota; Agaricomycetes; Agaricales; Marasmiaceae.